RNAcentral lists this transfer RNA (67 nucleotides) under Podarcis lilfordi (Lilford's wall lizard). RNAcentral describes it as "tRNA.Undet". Lineage: Eukaryota; Metazoa; Chordata; Lepidosauria; Squamata; Lacertidae. The record is from RNAcentral.
ACCUGGGAUAGCUCAGUUGGUAGAGCAUUAAUCUCAGGGUUGUGGGUUCGAGUCCCAUGUUUGGGCA